ACCGCUAUCCGCCGGNNACUANNAGNAUNNGCUUAAAACCCAAAGGACUUGGCGGUGCUUUAAACCCACCUAGAGGAGCCUGUUCUAGAAUCGAUAACCCCCGUUGAACCUCACCCCCCCUUGUUUUUUCCGCCUAUAUACCGCCGUCGUCAGCUUACCCUGUGAAGGGAAGAUAGUAAGCAAAGUUGAUACAGUCUAAAACGUCAGGUCAAGGUGUAGCAUACGGGGCGGGAANAAAUGGGCUACAUUCCCUGCCUUAGGGAAUACGAAAGAUGAAAUGANAUUUUCGUCCGANGGAGAUUUAGCAGUAAGUAGAANGCAGAGAGUUCA
RNAcentral lists this ribosomal RNA (330 nucleotides) under Gyrinomimus sp. B. RNAcentral's name for it is "partial 12S ribosomal RNA". It matches the Rfam family "Bacterial small subunit ribosomal RNA", at positions 875 to 1360 of the family's 1533-position model. The record is from RNAcentral. Lineage: Eukaryota; Metazoa; Chordata; Actinopteri; Beryciformes; Cetomimidae.